GCUCAGAACGAACGCUGGCGGCGCGCCUAAUACAUGCAAGUCGAGCGAGAAGACGUAGCAAUACGUUUGUAACGCGGCGAACGGGUGAGGAAUACAUGGGUAACCUACCAUCGAGUGGGGAAUAACUAGCCGAACGGUUAGCUAAUACCGCAUACGACUCCUGGUCUGCGGAUCAGGAGAGAACGCGAUACCGUGGGUAUCGCGCUCUUGGAUGGGCUCAUGUCCUAUCAGCUUGUUGGUGAGGUAACGGCUCACCAAGGCUUCCAGGAUUAGCUGGUCUGAGAGGACGAUCAGGGACCCUGGCACUGCGACACGGGCCAGACUCCUACGGGAGGCAGCAGUAAGGAAUAUUGCGCAAUGGGCGACAGCCUGACGCAGCGACGCCGCGUGGGGGAUGAAGGUCUUCGGAUUGUAACCACCUUUCGGCAGGGAAGAUGGAACGGGUAACCGUUCGGACGGUACCUGCAGAAGCAGCCACGGCUAACUUCGUGCCAGCAGCCGCGGUAAUACGAAGGUGGCAAGCGUUGUUCGGAUUUACUGGGCGUACAGGGAGUGUAGGCGGUUGGGUAAGCCAUUCGUGAACUCUCCGGGCCUAACCAGGAACGGGCGGAGGGGACUGCUCGGCUAGAGGAUGGGAGAGGAGUGCGGAAUUCCAGGUGUAGCGGUGAACUGCGUAGAGAUCGGGAGGAAGGCCGGUGGCGAAGGCGGCGCUCUGGAACAUUUCUGACGCUGAGGCUCGAACGCGUGGGGAGUAACCAGGAUUAGAUACCAUGGUAGUCCACGCCUUAACCGAUGGAUACUAAGUGUCGGCGG
This 813-nucleotide ribosomal RNA is filed under the name uncultured bacterium. RNAcentral describes it as "bacterial SSU rRNA". It matches the Rfam family "Bacterial small subunit ribosomal RNA", at positions 22 to 829 of the family's 1533-position model. The record is from RNAcentral.